UACGUAGGAGACGAGGCGUUGUCCGGAAUUAUUGGGCGUUAAAGGAGCUCGUAGGCGGGUUUGUCGCGUCGGGAGUGAAACCAGGUGCUUAACACCUCGGCUUGCUUUCGAUACGGGCAGACUAGAGUGUGGUAGGGGAGACUGGAAUUCCUGGUGUAGCGGUGAAAUGCGCAGAGUAUCAGGAGGAACACCGAUGGCGAAGGGCAGGUCUCUGGGCCACUACUGACGCUGAGAAGCGGAAAGCAUGGG
RNAcentral lists this ribosomal RNA (249 nucleotides) under uncultured bacterium. RNAcentral describes it as "partial 16S ribosomal RNA". It matches the Rfam family "Bacterial small subunit ribosomal RNA", at positions 524 to 765 of the family's 1533-position model. The record is from RNAcentral.